RNAcentral lists this long non-coding RNA (871 nucleotides) under Homo sapiens (human). RNAcentral's name for it is "HSALNT0212858". The record is from RNAcentral. Lineage: Eukaryota; Metazoa; Chordata; Mammalia; Primates; Hominidae.
GUAGUAUGCAUUUCAGCGAAUGCUGCCUCUAAACUACCCGUCAGGAAAAAUAAAAUCUAUAAGGUAAUCGUAGUCUAGGAGCCAUCAAUCCCCAAAUGCUUCUCUUAGAAAACGAAUGCCAACAAUUUAGCUAAACAUCUUCCUUGGAAGUGAGCCAUUUCCCAUGUCUCUCUGUUCUCCAAACCGCGAUGAAAUUUCAACCUGCCCAACACGAUUACUGGUCCACCUAGAAAUGCCGUGGAGCGAUUUAAGAGCCUCGGAAAUUUCCUUUAAGGUCAGGAGAGAAGCUGGUAACAGAUGGGGCGAAGGAGGAAAAGUUCUUUUUGCGGCACCCUCACGCCUUCCCAGCCCUUUCGCGGUUUACUCGCUCCCCGGAAAGCAGGGCAUUCAAGCAGCCCUGAGGAGAGGUCCACAUGGUGAGCCACUGAGGGCCUUGCCAAGAGCCAGCACCAACGGUCCAGGUUUGGAGUGUACCACCUUGGAAGUGAAUCUUCCAGUCCAGUCAAGCCUUCAGAUGACUUCAGAACCGUCCAUGUAAGCCACUCUUGGAUUCCUGACCCACAGAAACUGUUGGAGCUGCCAAUUUGCAGGAAAUAGAGGAGAGAAGCAUCUGUUGAACUGCACCAUGAGUAUACACUCAGCAAAGGCCAAACUGUGGAAAAUGAUACAGGUCAAACAGCCUGGAUUCUUUAACAGUGAUGUUUCUGAAGCACCAAUGAAAAUGAAGUCCUGAAGUCCUGUGCUCAAUAUGAAAUGUUGGAAGUUAGAAGAAAAAAACAAAACUUGGAUCCAAUCUCAAGGCACUUUUUGUUUAAUGGGAAGAAGUGGAUUAUUUUAAAAGCUACAAAUAAAGUUACAUAAAAGUAGCAAA